Molecule: transfer RNA, 65 nt
Filed under: Ornithodoros savignyi
Lineage: Eukaryota; Metazoa; Arthropoda; Arachnida; Ixodida; Argasidae
Description: tRNA-Gln
Source: RNAcentral
UUUUUGGUGUAAGGCACGUUAAAUUUUGAAUUUAAAGGGAUGAUUCAUUUCAUUAAAAUUAAUAA